This is a non-coding RNA of Caretta caretta (loggerhead turtle), 1976 nucleotides long. The record is from RefSeq and is a predicted model, not a curated record. NCBI's taxonomy places the organism in Eukaryota, Metazoa, Chordata, Testudines, Cheloniidae.
GAAACGGAGACGCCCCCCGCCCCCGCUGAACUGGCCGGACACCCGCAGGAGCCCGACGCAGCCGGUCGCCGGAGCCCAGCUAGGGGCCGGCGAUACAGGGGUCUCCGCGUGGGUUUCUAGGGCUUUGAGCAGAAACGACUUUCGGCUGAGCACCCUGCGCUGCAGAGGUCGAUCGCUUUGCCAUAAGGCAGCCAGCGGAUGUUGCGUAAAUGAGGCCCCGACUCGAGGCUAAACUGACAGAGAGAGUAAGAAGGGGGCGUGGGUGCAGCCCUCUGGACCCCGGGAUGUGAGAGCGACCAAGUGAGGCAGGCAGUCGCUUCUAUUCCACCGACUUCUGUUGGGGAGAGAGACACCCUUUCAGACCUGAAGAAGAGCUCUGUGUAAGCGCCAAAGCCUGUCUCUUUCACCAACAGCUUGGGCCAGUAAAAAUAUAUUACCUCACCCGCCCGCUCUCUUUAAUAGGGUAACGGAUACAGCCAAGAGGCGCUCUUAGCAGUGUGCACAGCACAUCGUUUCUAGCAGCUAACAGUAACGUGGGUUUGAUUAAAAUCGAGCUCCAUGACAGAAGGGUUGUGAUUGAAGAUGAAUUUCGCAGGCUAGUACUUGUCCCACCUGCUUCAAGACUCAUUUGCAGGAUGUAAAAACGGCAAGGAUAAUUAGAGAAACCAUCCUCCACCCUUGUGUGUGUCAUCAUUUUCUAUCAUGCAAAUAGUUUAUUUGUGCUGGGCAAAAUCCUGACGCCAACACUAAGGCAUCCUGGAACCAUGUUAGUCUGAGUAAUUUAAUUCCAAAGGGUAAUGAAUACACAGCAAUAGCUAGUGCCAAUUAACUAUUUUUCCAGGAAAUGACCAUGUUGUAGAGACUGUUCUACCUUCAGUGGCAGCAUCAACAACACUUGAAGAAGAAAGGAAGCAGCAUUGGACUGGGGAGAAAGACCCUGACUGAAAAAUGCAGCCAGUAUGAUUGUUGGAACCUGUGGGAGCUGGCUGAGAAGAGACUGCAAACUCUGCAUUCUCCCUCUAGACUUCUUUAUGGCUACAAUUAAGUAACAUCCUUUUGGCUCUUACCCCAACAGUGCCAGCAAGAGAAGAUUGCAUAAUUUCUUCUAUAUUUGGUUUGUUGGUUAAAUCUUAACUAUACUCUGUGACGGUGCCCCCCAUAAGGCUUUCUGGAAAUAUGCUUAUAAAUGUACAUAUGACAUAACUAGAAUGUGUUUUAUGCUACAUAUGCCAUGUAACAUAUCUCUGUAAAGGUUGUGAUCUACUGAAUCUAUUAAUCCUAUUUGUAUGCAUGUAUCAUUUUUGUAUUUGAAGUUAUGAAUAUUGCUGCAUACUUGUUUGAUUCUGAGUAGGUUUUAGUGAAGCAGUUGGUCAGCUUCCUGAGAAAAGACUAUUCUCAGUAAGUGCCCAAUCAAGAAGCCCUUAAGCCAACAAUGAACUUGGAGAUGCCAGUCAACAUCUGGGCUUUGCCAGGAAUGUGGCUUGGCUGGUAAGGAACUCAAUCAUGCAUGGACAUGUAACUUGCCCAGAUGAUUCCAAAACUCCAUUUUGUAGCUGGACUUUGCAUAGGAGAGAGGAAUGGGUCUCCACCCACAAGAGAAAGUCUAUUUAAACCCCUGGGAGACCGCUCCAUUUUGUCUUCAGCUGGCUAGAGAGAGAUCCACCCCCAAAGAUACCUGAAAGAAACUGGAAUAAAGCAUAGUAACUACAGGGGGUGUGAGUGAUUCCUGGACCCAGACUAGAAGGAGGCUAGUCUGUAAAAGAAAGCUUACUGGAACUGGUGAGGUUUUUAUCUAUAUUCAAUUUUAUUACUGUACUAGACUUAGACUUGCAUGUUUUAUUUUAUUUUGCUUGGUAAUUCACUUUGUUCUGUCUGUCACUACUUGGAACCACUUAAAUCCUACUUUCUGUAUUUAAUAAAAUCACUUUUUACGUAUUAAUUAACCCAGAGUAUGUAUUAAUACCUGGGGGGGCAAA